CUCAAGGAAGAUAAUGACGGUACUUGAGGAGGAAGCCCCGGCUAACUACGUGCCAGCAGCCGCGGUAAUACGUAGGGGGCUAGCGUUAUCCGGAUUUACUGGGCGUAAAGGGUGCGUAGGCGGUCUUUCAAGUCAGGAGUGAAAGGCUACGGCGCAACCGUAGUAAGCUCUUGAAACUGGGAGACUUGAGUGCAGGAGAGGAGAGUGGAAUUCCUAGUGUAGCGGUGAAAUGCGUAGAUAUUAGGAGGAACACCAGUUGCGAAGGCGGCUCGCUGGACUGUAACUGACGCUGAGGC
RNAcentral lists this ribosomal RNA (296 nucleotides) under Clostridioides difficile. RNAcentral describes it as "partial 16S ribosomal RNA". It matches the Rfam family "Bacterial small subunit ribosomal RNA", at positions 438 to 752 of the family's 1533-position model. The record is from RNAcentral. Lineage: Bacteria; Bacillati; Bacillota; Clostridia; Peptostreptococcales; Peptostreptococcaceae.